AAGGGUAUAGCUCAGUGGUAGAGUGAAUGCUUAGCAUGCACAAGGUCCUGGGUCAAUCCCCUGUACCUCCA
RNAcentral lists this transfer RNA (71 nucleotides) under Camelus bactrianus (Bactrian camel). It matches the Rfam family "tRNA". Rfam says of the family: Transfer RNA (tRNA) molecules are approximately 80 nucleotides in length. Their secondary structure includes four short double-helical elements and three loops (D, anti-codon, and T loops). RNAcentral also lists the same sequence under 2 other names. Lineage: Eukaryota; Metazoa; Chordata; Mammalia; Artiodactyla; Camelidae. The record is from Rfam by way of RNAcentral.